GCCACUGUGGUGUAGUGAUUUGAGUGUUAGACUACAGUUCUGGAGACCAGGGUUGGAAUCCCUGCUUGACC
Non-coding RNA from Phrynosoma platyrhinos (Desert horned lizard), 71 nucleotides. Lineage: Eukaryota; Metazoa; Chordata; Lepidosauria; Squamata; Phrynosomatidae. The record is from the annotation of a GenBank genome assembly.